CCAGCCUCAAGGCAGAAAGAAAAACACACAGUGAGAACUAUGGCCUAAAACAGCUAGAGGACUUCCCAAGCUCACCUUUUGUUUUGAGAUCCUGGGAGGACACUGAAGUUGACAUUGGUGCCGCAUGAGAACACGCAUGACACCUCUCCUCAUCCCACAGAUUCUCCAAGUCCCACAGAGGAUCUCCCGUUUGCUUUGUAUCAGCCAGCUCAUGCGGAGGGUGAAGAAGAAGCUAGGGAUAAAAAGGAUCUGAAUCUAAAGGGUGACAGUGGUGGGCUCUUAAUGUACUUCAAGGAAAGGUGGAAGAUAGUAGGCAUCAUGAGCUGGGGUUAUGGCUGUGGGUAGCACAACAUCCCAGGUGUAUAUACCUGAGUCAGUUUCUUUCUCAACUGGAUCUAUAACAUCCGGAAGGUAGGUAUACAUGACUUUCCAAUUCACUACCUCCUGAACCCCUUCUAACUUCUCAGCUAUGGCCAC
RNAcentral lists this long non-coding RNA (477 nucleotides) under Phascolarctos cinereus (koala). Its description in RNAcentral is "lncRNA (ENSPCIG00000034409.1)". Lineage: Eukaryota; Metazoa; Chordata; Mammalia; Diprotodontia; Phascolarctidae. The record is from RNAcentral.